Molecule: ribosomal RNA, 496 nt
Filed under: uncultured bacterium
Lineage: Bacteria
Description: partial 16S ribosomal RNA
Rfam family: Bacterial small subunit ribosomal RNA
Source: RNAcentral
AUGAACGCUGGCGGCGUGCCUAAUCCAUGCAAGUCGAGCGAACAGACGAGGAGCUUGCUCCUCUGACGUUAGCGGCGGACGGGUGAGUAACACGUGGAUAACCUACCUAUAAGACUGGGAUAACUUCGGGAAACCGGAGCUAAUACCGGAUAAUAUAUUGAACCGCAUGGUUCAAUAGUGAAAGACGGUUUUGCUGUCACUUAUAGAUGGAUCCGCGCCGCAUUAGCUAGUUGGUAAGGUAACGGCCUACCAAGGCAACGAUGCGUAGCCGACCUGAGAGGGUGAUCGGCCACACUGGAACUGAGACACGGUCCAGACUCCUACGGGAGGCAGCAGUAGGGAAUCUUCCGCAAUGGGCGAAAGCCUGACGGAGCAACGCCGCGUGAGUGAUGAAGGUCUUCGGAUCGUAAAACUCUGUUAUUAGGGAAGAACAAAUGUGUAAGUAACUAUGCACGUCUUGACGGUACCUAAUCAGAAAGCCACGGCUAACUACGUG